AAAAUUUCAAGUGGAUGAAAACAGUAAUGUCAAGAAGAGAGGUAUGGACUUCAGGAUGACUGAAAUAGCUUGUGUGCCUUGGAAAGGGAGCGGGCUGGUGGUCAGGACUUUGAGAAGAGCCAUUCAGGAAACAUGUGGGUGGCAGAAUAAUUGCCACAGGAGAAGUCCACUAUUGGAAGCUGUGCAAACUUCCAAUCACCUGACAAAAGGUAAUGCACCAGGCCACGCCUCAUUUUUCCUGAGAGAAAAGGGAUGUGAGGGGAUCAAACACAAGACGCAGCAUUUUACAGUUCCACUUCCAAAGGCGUCCACUCUGUGACACAGCAGGACAAUCGGAUCGGCAUCUCAGCUGUAGAAUCGCAGAAACCUGAAAGCCGAGCACAUUAACAC
Molecule: long non-coding RNA, 390 nt
Filed under: Fukomys damarensis (Damara mole-rat)
Lineage: Eukaryota; Metazoa; Chordata; Mammalia; Rodentia; Bathyergidae
Description: lncRNA (ENSFDAG00000032278.1)
Source: RNAcentral